Molecule: ribosomal RNA, 254 nt
Filed under: uncultured bacterium
Lineage: Bacteria
Description: partial 16S ribosomal RNA
Rfam family: Bacterial small subunit ribosomal RNA
Source: RNAcentral
CACGUAGGGGGCGAGCGUUGUCCGGAUUUAUUGGGCGUAAAGAGCUCGUAGGCGGCUCGGUAAGUCGGGUGUGAAACCUCCAGGCUCAACCUGGAGACGCCACCUGAUACUGCUGUGGCUAGAGUCCGGUAGGGGAGUGUGGAACUCCUGGUGUAGCGGUGAAAUGCGCAGAUAUCAGGAGGAACACCGGUGGCGAAGGCGGGUCUCUGGGCAGUAACUGACGCUGAGGGGCGAAAGCGUGGGGAGCGAACAGG